UACGAGGGGGGCGAGCGUUGUUCGGAAUUAUUGGGCGUAAAGGGUGCGUAGGCGGUUUGGUAAGUCUGAUGUGAAAUCUAUGGGCUCAACUCAUAGUCUGCAUCGGAAACUGUCGGACUAGAGUACGGAAGAGGCGAGUGGAAUUCCUGGUGUAGCGGUGGAAUGCGCAGAUAUCAGGAGGAACACCAAUAGCGAAGGCAGAUCUCUGGGCCGUAACUGACGCUGAGGAGCGAAAGCGUGGGGGAGCGAACAGG
RNAcentral lists this ribosomal RNA (254 nucleotides) under uncultured bacterium. Its description in RNAcentral is "partial 16S ribosomal RNA". It matches the Rfam family "Bacterial small subunit ribosomal RNA", at positions 524 to 776 of the family's 1533-position model. The record is from RNAcentral.